GACGAACGCUGGCGGCGUGCUUAACACAUGCAAGUCGAACGGAAAGGCCCUGCUUUUGUGGGGUGCUCGAGUGGCGAACGGGUGAGUAACACGUGAGUAACCUGCCCUUGACUUUGGGAUAACUUCAGGAAACUGGGGCUAAUACCGGAUAGGAGCUCCUGCUGCAUGGUGGGGGUUGGAAAGUUUCGGCGGUUGGGGAUGGACUCGCGGCUUAUCAGCUUGUUGGUGGGGUAGUGGCUUACCAAGGCUUUGACGGGUAGCCGGCCUGAGAGGGUGACCGGCCACAUUGGGACUGAGAUACGGCCCGGACUCCUCCGGGAGGCAGCGGUGGGGAAUAUUGCACAAUGGGCGGAAGCCUGAUGCAGCAACGCCGCGUGCGGGAUGACGGCCUUCGGUUUGUAAACCGCUUUCGCCUGUGACGAAGCGUUAGUGACGGUAAUGGGUAAAGAAGCACCGGCUAACUACGUG
RNAcentral lists this ribosomal RNA (468 nucleotides) under uncultured bacterium. Its description in RNAcentral is "partial 16S ribosomal RNA". It matches the Rfam family "Bacterial small subunit ribosomal RNA", at positions 28 to 507 of the family's 1533-position model. The record is from RNAcentral.